CUGCGGGCUUGCUGUUGAUGAGCUCCCUGCUUGCCUUUAGUGCUAGGAGUUGUUGUUCGGAAGGAGCGCAUCAUUUCCUUCUUCUCCUUUUUUUGUUUAGAGGACAAGCCUUUACAGGGUAAAACAGAUUCAAAAAAGCUUUGUAGUCCUAUAAUUUGCACCGACAGUAUGCAGGUGAGCAGAUUUGGGGGAAUUCUGCCCUUCAUUUACUCGUUCCGCAACUAAAGCAGCGCAGCAAACAAGCUGAUCAGCUCAGUGUCAUCCCCAGAGCCAUCAAUGGGUACCCAUGCUUUCCACCAACCAGUGGACGGACUCGCGCGGACGAAUCUUGCUGGUAUUCCCAGACAGACUGAUGUUCUCCUCCUCUUCAUCCAGAGGCUAACAUCUUUUCUUUCCAGCUGAUCAGCUCAGUGUCAUCCCCAGAGCCAUCAAUGGGUACCCACGCUUUCCACCAACCAGUGGACGGACUCGCGCGGACAAAUCUUGCUGGUAUUCCCAGACAGACUGAUGUUCUCCUCCUCUUCAUCCAGCGGCUAACAUCUUUUCUUUCCAGCUGGUCAGCGCACUGUCAUCCCCAGAGCCAUGAAUGAGUACCCAUUCUUUCUACCAACCAGUGGACGGACUCACGCGGACAAAUCUUGCUGGGUAUUCCCAGAUAGGCUGAUGUUCUGCUAAUCCUCAUCCUGCCGCUAACAUUUCUUCUUUCAAGGUACUGAUAAUAGGGGGAAACCCAAUGGGUAUGGGUAUAGAGAGAGAGAUAUGGAGAUAGGAGAUAGAGAGAAACAUGUACAGAUAGGGACAGAGAAAUAUAGGGAAAGAAGGCAAGAGAGCCAGAGAGAGGGAGAGAGAAGAGAGAGGACGAAGUAGUGGUAGAGAUCGAGAUAGAGAGAUCGAGAUAGACAGAGACAGAGGGAUAGAGCUAGAUAGAGAGACAGAGGGAUAGAGCUAGAUAGAGAGAGAUAGAGAUAUAGAUAG
Molecule: long non-coding RNA, 975 nt
Organism: Sycon ciliatum
Lineage: Eukaryota; Metazoa; Porifera; Calcarea; Leucosolenida; Sycettidae
Exons: 4
Source: RefSeq, a predicted model, not a curated record